CGGCGGACGGGUGAGUAACGCGUGGGUAACCUGCCUCAUACAGGGGGAUAACAGUUGGAAACGACUGCUAAUACCGCAUAAGCGCACAGUGCCGCAUGGUACAGUGUGAAAAACUCCGGUGGUAUGAGAUGGACCCGCGUCUGAUUAGCUAGUUGGUGGGGUAACGGCCUACCAAGGCGACGAUCAGUAGCCGACCUGAGAGGGUGACCGGCCACAUUGGGACUGAGACACGGCCCAA
This 238-nucleotide ribosomal RNA is filed under the name uncultured bacterium. RNAcentral describes it as "partial 16S ribosomal RNA". It matches the Rfam family "Bacterial small subunit ribosomal RNA", at positions 96 to 334 of the family's 1533-position model. The record is from RNAcentral.